UACGUAGGGCGCGAGCGUUGUCCGGAAUUAUUGGGCGUAAAGAGCUCGUAGGCGGCUUGUUGCGUCUGCUGUGAAAUCCCGGGGCUUAACCCCGGGCGUGCAGUGGAUACGGGCAGGCUGGAGGCAGGCAGGGGAGAAUGGAAUUCCCGGUGUAGCGGUGAAAUGCGCAGAUAUCGGGAGGAACACCGGUGGCGAAGGCGGCCUUCUGGACCAAUACUGACGCUCAUGCACGAAAGCGUGGGGAGCAAACAGG
This 253-nucleotide ribosomal RNA is filed under the name uncultured bacterium. RNAcentral describes it as "partial 16S ribosomal RNA". It matches the Rfam family "Bacterial small subunit ribosomal RNA", at positions 524 to 776 of the family's 1533-position model. The record is from RNAcentral.